GUAGCCACAGUCUUUCUAGUAAGACUAUGUGGUACGGGACCAUAAACCCAUAACACAAAUACUUUUUAUCUCCCCUAUAAAAAGUAACCAUAGUCUUACUCAAAAGAGUAAGACUAUGGUGUAUGGGGUCACCAUAUAAAAGGCAAGCAAUCAAUAAGUAUCUAUUCCUCAAUUUGUAAACCCAUAAGAUCACAUCAAUUUAAAAUAUUGACUUCAGCAAAACAAUUUAACGUGUAUCUUCUAUGAUGUCUUUGGUUUUCGUAAUAAAUGCUUGUUGGGCUUGUUGUA
Haliotis rubra (blacklip abalone) is the source of this 288-nucleotide long non-coding RNA. RefSeq lists it as uncharacterized. The record is from RefSeq and is a predicted model, not a curated record. NCBI's taxonomy places the organism in Eukaryota, Metazoa, Mollusca, Gastropoda, Lepetellida, Haliotidae. The transcript is spliced from 2 exons.